This is a long non-coding RNA of Magnolia sinica, 807 nucleotides long. RefSeq lists it as uncharacterized. The transcript has 2 exons. NCBI's taxonomy places the organism in Eukaryota, Viridiplantae, Streptophyta, Magnoliopsida, Magnoliales, Magnoliaceae. The record is from RefSeq and is a predicted model, not a curated record.
CUCUCACGUACCAGGAUUCGCAAGCGUGUUAACAUUUCUCUGUUUUUCUUCGCACGCGCACCACCCUCCAUCCGCACGUGUGCUAGCUCAGCCACCGAAAUCAAUACCAAGUAAUAACAUAAAAAAAAUAAAAUAAUAAUAAUAAUAAUCUUAUUGUUGUUAUUUCAUCGUAUCUUCCAAUAUACCCUUUUCUCUGGUUCUAGGGUUUUGCCCUUUUGAGUCAUUUUUUCCUCUCUUUCUAGGGUUUUGCCCUUUUGGGAGAGUCUGUUCCUUCCUUUCCUUCUUUCUGCUAUAGGCUUUUCUGUCAGACCUCUGCUUUUGAGCAGAAAAGAGAACAAAACCCCCCCCCAAAAAAGAUGCGUCUUUUGCUUAGAUAAGAAUAAAAGAAUAUCUCCAUUGAAUUUUCCUCUUUUUCUUCUUUAUUUUCUGGUUUUUUUUUUUUUUUUCUGAUUUUAUGCAGAGAGAAAAGAUGAAGAGAAGGAGAUACUGAUGAUAGGAACCAGAAAUGUCAGGGUGGAGGUGAAGGAAGAGAAUGGCGGAAAUCUGACGCAGAUCGGGUGAUGUAUCGACGACUCUGCCGGAAAUCUGACGACAAUGGAGGGGGACGACGACGUUGCCGGAGGAAGAACCGCGGGAAGGGCAUUUUCGUCACUCUAAAUUAUUAUUAUUAUUGUUUGUUUUCAGGUUGAGAUAAACUUCGGUACUCUGGCAGAGUGUGAUAGAUGAUACGCAGGCACUUACAAAUUGCAAAACUGUAAGAAUUACGUUACCCAGUGUAGAUGUAUCAAAAAUCAAGCUUAUUUGAUU